CAGCCGCCGCGGUAAUACGUAGGGUGCAAGCGUUAAUCGGAAUUACUGGGCGCAAAGCGUGCGCAGGCGGUUAUAUAAGUCAGAUGUGAAAUCCCCGGGCUCAACUUGGGAACUGCAUUUGAGACUGUAUGGCUAGAGUGUGUCAGAGGGGGGUAGAAUUCCACGUGUAGCAGUGAAAUGCGUAGAUAUGUGGAGGAAUACCGAUGGCGAAGGCAGCCCCCUGGGAUAACACUGACGCUCAUGCACGAAAGCGUGGGGAGCAAACAGGAUUAGAUACCCCGGUAGUCCCUGUCUCUUAUAA
This 301-nucleotide ribosomal RNA is filed under the name uncultured bacterium. Its description in RNAcentral is "partial 16S ribosomal RNA". It matches the Rfam family "Bacterial small subunit ribosomal RNA", at positions 509 to 809 of the family's 1533-position model. The record is from RNAcentral.